AGAGUUUGAUCCUGGCUCAGGACGAACGCUGGCGGCGUGCCUAAUACAUGCAAGUAGAACGCUGAAGAGAGGAGCUUGCUCUUCUUGGAUGAGUUGCGAACGGGUGAGUAACGCGUAGGUAACCUGCCUUGUAGCGGGGGAUAACUAUUGGAAACGAUAGCUAAUACCGCAUAACAAUGGAUGACACAUGUCAUUUAUUUGAAAGGGGCAAUUGUUCCACUACAAGAUGGACCUGCGUUGUAUUAGCUAGUAGGUGAGGUAAUGGCUCACCUAGGCGACGAUACAUAGCCGACCUGAGAGGGUGAUCGGCCACACUGGGACUGAGACACGGCCCAGACUCCUACGGGAGGCAGCAGUAGGGAAUCUUCGGCAAUGGGGGCAACCCUGACCGAGCAACGCCGCGUGAGUGAAGAAGGUUUUCGGAUCGUAAAGCUCUGUUGUAAGUCAAGAACGGGUGUGAGAGUGGAAAGUUCACACUGUGACGGUAGCUUACCAGAAAGGGACGGCUAACUACGUGCCAGCAGCCGCGGUAAUACGUAGGUCCCGAGCGUUGUCCGGAUUUAUUGGGCGUAAAGCGAGCGCAGGCGGUUUGAUAAGUCUGAAGUUAAAGGCUGUGGCUCAACCAUAGUUCGCUUUGGAAACUGUCAAACUUGAGUGCAGAAGGGGAGAGUGGAAUUCCAUGUGUAGCGGUGAAAUGUGUAGAUAUAUGGAGGAACACCGGUGGCGAAAGCGGCUCUCUGGUCUGUAACUGACGCUGAGGCUCGAAAGCGUGGGGAGCGAACAGGAUUAGAUACCCUGGUAGUCCACGCCGUAAACGAUGAGUGCUAGGUGUUGGAUCCUUUCCGGGAUUCAGUGCCGCAGCUAACGCAUUAAGCACUCCGCCUGGGGAGUACGACCGCAAGGUUGAAACUCAAAGGAAUUGACGGGGGCCCGCACAAGCGGUGGAGCAUGUGGUUUAAUUCGAAGCAACGCGAAGAACCUUACCAGGUCUUGACAUCCCGAUGCUAUUUCUAGAGAUAGAAAGUUACUUCGGUACAUCGGUGACAGGUGGUGCAUGGUUGUCGUCAGCUCGUGUCGUGAGAUGUUGGGUUAAGUCCCGCAACGAGCGCAACCCCUAUUGUUAGUUGCCAUCAUUCAGUUGGGCACUCUAGCGAGACUGCCGGUAAUAAACCGGAGGAAGGUGGGGAUGACGUCAAAUCAUCAUGCCCCUUAUGGCCUGGGCUACACACGUGCUACAAUGGUUGGUACAACGAGUUGCGAGUCGGUGACGGCGAGCUAAUCUCUUAAAGCCAAUCUCAGUUCGGAUUGUAGGCUGCAACUCGCCUACAUGAAGUCGGAAUCGCUAGUAAUCGCGGAUCAGCACGCCGCGGUGAAUACGUUCCCGGGCCUUGUACACACCGCCCGUCACACCACGAGAGUUUGUAACACCCGAAGUCGGUGAGGUAACCUUUUGGAGCCAGCCGCCUAAGGUGGGACAGAUGAUUGGGGUGAAGUCGUAACAAGGUA
This 1506-nucleotide ribosomal RNA is filed under the name metagenome. RNAcentral's name for it is "bacterial SSU rRNA". It matches the Rfam family "Bacterial small subunit ribosomal RNA". The record is from RNAcentral.